RNAcentral lists this long non-coding RNA (270 nucleotides) under Elaeis guineensis (African oil palm). RNAcentral describes it as "long non-coding RNA (EGUI_LNC014781)". The record is from RNAcentral. Lineage: Eukaryota; Viridiplantae; Streptophyta; Magnoliopsida; Arecales; Arecaceae.
GCCAGGGUAACAAAGGGUGGAAAACAGCUUCCAACAAACAAGGGGGUAAAAUAGGUUUUUCCUUUUCACUUAUUGAAAAAAGAAAAAAAAGGAGAUGGCAAUGUUGAUGUACCUCUCCCUUGUCUCAUUCCCCUUGCCAAAACCUCAUAACCAGGAUAUGCAAUCCAAUUCCCCGGUGGAAAAUGUUAAAGUUUCAUGGCAAACUUCCCAUUUUGUUUCCCUUGGACAGGAUUUAAACCACUUCUUUGUGAAAAUUUAACAUCUAGUCCC